CAGAGAUGCCGGAGUGCCGCUUUUAGCGGAAAGAUAAAACAGGUGGUGCAUGGUUGUCGUCAGCUCGUGUCGUGAGAUGUUGGGUUAAGUCCCGCAACGAGCGCAACCCUUGAUAACAGUUGCCAGCAAGUAAGGUUGGGCACUCUGUUGUGACUGCCGUAGAUAAUACGGAGGAAGGUGGGGAUGACGUCAAAUCAUCAUGCCCUUUAUGACCUGGGCUACACACGUGCUACAAUGGGGUGGAACAACGGGAAGCAAACCAGCGAUGGCAAGCGGAACCCUAAAAACACCUCUCAGUUCAGAUUGCAGGCUGCAACCCGCCUGCAUGAAGUCGGAAUUGCUAGUAAUCGCGGAUCAGCAUGCCGCGGUGAAUACGUUCCCGGGCCUUGUACACACCGCCCGUCACACCACGAAAGUUGACAACACCCGAAGUCGGUGGGGUAACCUGCAAGGGAGCCAGCCGCCGAAGGUGGGGCCAGUAAUUGGGGUGAAGUCGUAACAAGGUAACCAAUC
This 513-nucleotide ribosomal RNA is filed under the name uncultured bacterium. RNAcentral describes it as "bacterial SSU rRNA". It matches the Rfam family "Bacterial small subunit ribosomal RNA", at positions 1001 to 1505 of the family's 1533-position model. The record is from RNAcentral.